Molecule: long non-coding RNA, 873 nt
Organism: Hibiscus syriacus
Lineage: Eukaryota; Viridiplantae; Streptophyta; Magnoliopsida; Malvales; Malvaceae
Exons: 5
Source: RefSeq, a predicted model, not a curated record
AAAGGAAAAAGGAAUAGGAGAAAGGAGAAGGGACACUGAAGAGGGAAAAAAAGAAAGAAAAGGAGGAGGGACAUCCCAAAGGAGGAGGACGAGAGCAUAAAUGAGGACAAGGCUAAGAGUUGAAAGCAACCGUGUUUUGAAAGUGUUCGCACGUAUGGUUGAUAUACAACUUAAAAAUGUGGAGUCCGUGAAAGUGUAAUGUGAGGACGAUAUGUUUGGGUACGAGAGUUUCAUGUACAUAACUUUGGAAGAUUUUGAAGUGGUUUUUACCGUGGAUGAGAUAAUCGGUUCUGCGAUUACUUGUUAUAUGAUGUACUUGUUUGAGGAAAUCAAGAAUGGGACAAAAAGAGAUCAUGGAAUUUGCUUUGUGAGCCCGUCUGCAAUCUCGCCAUCAGGACGUAAGGCAAAAUUCAAAAAUAGCGAUGAGGCAAGUCGAAGCAUUGCAGAUCGAUUGUCUCUAAGAAAGGACAGUGACAUCGUCCUAGUGCCAUAUAAUCCCGAGUUUGUUUUUUCAUUUGAUUAUCAAUAUAUUUUAGUAACUUAAUUUGGUUUUUGGUUUUUAUAGAAGACAUUAGGUGUUGGCGGUGAUAGAUAUGAAAGCAACAAGUUGUUAUUAUCUUGAUUCCUUGGGGCCCACAAUGUCCAUCAGUAGUUGAAGUAGAUUAUUGAUGCGGCAAUGAUAUUGUACACUACUCAAAGUGGAUCUAACAAAAAGGUUAGCCUCAAUUGGAUCAAUGUUUUGUGUCCCUGUCAGUCGGGAGGUACCGAGUGUGGAUAUUAUGCUUGUAAGUUCAUGAAAGAGAUAGUCGAGAAUGGACUUGAAGUGAUGGUUAAUAAGAAUGUUAGCGAUGCGAAGGAAGAAUACACGGAUGA